Gopherus flavomarginatus (Mexican gopher tortoise) is the source of this 525-nucleotide long non-coding RNA. RefSeq lists it as uncharacterized. The record is from RefSeq and is a predicted model, not a curated record. NCBI's taxonomy places the organism in Eukaryota, Metazoa, Chordata, Testudines, Testudinidae. The transcript has 2 exons.
UGUAUAUUUAUAUUUCACCAACCAAUUAUCAGGAUAUGAGAGGAGUCUGAGAUGACCCAGCACAUCCUCGUUUUAAGAACACUUUCACUGCAGAUUUGACAAAACACGAAGGUACCAAUGUGAGAUUUCUAAAGAUAGCUACAGCACUUGACCCAAAGUUUAAAAAUCUGAAGUGCCUUCCAAAAGCUGAGGGAUGAGGUGUGUAGCAUGCUUUCAGAAGUCUUAAAAGAGCAACACUCUGAUGCAGAAAUUACAGAACCCGCAGCAUUAUCUCCUGCAACCAUAAACAAACUUGUUUGUCUGAGUGAGUGGCUGAACAAGAAGUAGGACUGAAUGGACUUGUAGGCUCUAAAUUUUUAAGUUUUUUUUGUUUUUGAAUGCAGUUGUUUUUUGUACAUAAUUCUACAUUUGUAAGUUCAACUUUCUUGAUAAAGAGAUUGCACUACAGUCCUUGUAUUAGGUGAAUUUAAAAGUACUAUUUUUUGCAGCAUGAAUAUUUGUAAUAAAAAUAUAAAAUGAGCACUG